This is a long non-coding RNA of Marmota monax (woodchuck), 2895 nucleotides long. RefSeq lists it as uncharacterized. NCBI's taxonomy places the organism in Eukaryota, Metazoa, Chordata, Mammalia, Rodentia, Sciuridae. The record is from RefSeq and is a predicted model, not a curated record. The transcript has 3 exons.
UUGACAGUAGAACAGGAACUAGAUUUCUAUAAGAAGAAUUCCAACUCUUCACUAAGAUCUUGUCAUUCUUUCUGAAUGCAGAACUCAUCUGGAUUUCUCAGCCUCUCCUGUAAUUCAGUAUGGCCAUGUGACUAGGUUUGAGCCAAUGGAUUAUGAGAGGAAGUUAUGUGCGCCACAUCAGGUCCUAGCCCACAAGACUGUCCAGCCUGUGCCAUGUUCACUUCUUCAGCUAAAAUAACAGGAAUUGAGAUAGCCUUGGAACCAGUACAUUGAAUAUGGCAGAGCCAGUAAGUUCCUGAGUCCCUAAAAGACCACACGAGGGAGAAAUACACCCCCUAUUUCCAAACGGCAACCACCUCUGCUGACCUGGAAUAUCCCUGCUAGAUUCUCAGACACUUCUCUCUGUCUUCCUUCACCGGGUCAGAGUGGCCAAGAAGCAGAAAGGCAGUUUCCAGCUCCGGAAGUGGGGGACCAUGCACAAGUUAUACAGCAUUGAUGAUUUGCACCUUCUCAUCUGCGAAAUGGGAAGAACCUCCCAGCUUUGUCUUCUCCAGCCAAUUGCCUGAAGUCGUGUGAAGUUCAGCAAGAUGAUGCAUGCGAGAGUAUCAUGAGAACACAGAACAGCCAACACAAAAUAAGACGCACUAGGCCACUUGUCCUGCAUCUGCUGACCAUCAACAUGACCCAGAGGGCUUGGCCUGUGAAACCCAGACUGCUGGAGCCCAUCCUCAGAUUCUCUGCUUGGCUGUCUGGGAUGAGUCUGGGAAUUGACAGUUCUAACAGUUCUCAGCUGCUGCUGCUGUUGCUGGUUACCAGGCACGUUUGAGAGCUACCACCCUAUGUCAAUCUCCUCCCUGAUCAGAGUACUAUCAAAGUCAUCUCCUUCUGUGUGAAGGAGGGUGAUGGUGUGCAUUGAAUUUUGAUCCCUAACAGCCACCCUAGGAACAUCUCAAACACACAAUAGGAAACUGUCCUUCUCAGGGAAGUUGUUUAUACCCUGCUAGGCUCCUGAUGGGUUGGCUGGAGGUGUCAAGCUGGGGAGCCCUGGUGAGAGCUGAGCACCAGGGUGGAUGAGAUGCACAGGUAAAGUCAGAGCAGCCCCCAAACAGGAUGGGAGCAUGAGUCACAGCGGCGAGAUCUGAGAAGCAAUAUUACGACAGAGAGGACUGCGUGGCCAGGGACAGCCAGCUCAGCGACAAACUCUCUCAUCCUCAGGAACAAAAGCACACCAUGUACUUCGAGCAAACCUCCAGGGAAUGUUCUAGCCCAGAUCGGCUGACAGGCUGGCGGGAGUUUUUCUCUUCUGCAGUGAGGGAGCCGUUCUCCCGGAUGCCUUUCAGAGGGUGGCUGUGGCCGACAACAUCAUCAUUUCCCCUGGAAAAUGUCCUCUCCUUCUCUCAUUCUCAUUCACCAUCCUGUGCUCCCUAAAGGAGAAAGAAAGAAAAUGAAUAGCGAUCCUCCACAUGUUCCUCCAGCCAUCGCAUGACCAUGGGCCUGGAACACCAGGUUGGGGUCCAGGUGCAGCCUCUCUCUUGCCCGACUCAACUGCCCACAGCGGGCUGCUGUGGUUCCAGAUGACGAGGGCACUUGGUAGCCCUGUGCACCAGCUGUGGGCGGGCACUGAGAUGCCACUAUCAUGUGGAUUAAGCACUGUCUUCUCUGUGUUAUGGGAAGACUGGGACUGGGACUAAGACGCCUGUAGGUCACUUGGCAGCCAUGGCUGUCCCCAGAAUCUCCAUGGGGAAUGGGGCAAGUGCAGAGCCAGACACCCUUGCUGCUCUUCCUUGAUAUUCUGCCUCCAAAGCUCUCUGGGGUAUUCUACCGCCCUCUUGCCUGGUCACAGAACAGUCUGGACUCUUCAGAUAUGCAAGUGAAUCAUUUUCCAUCCAUCAGAGAUGAGACUUAAAUAAAUAAAAAGGUUCCCUGUUGGUAUUUUUCCACUCAGUAUCAUCCAGAAAAUAUUCCAAGGACUGGUUGACAUCCUUGGACACAGAGUGGGAAGAGAAGAGGGAACUUGAGUGCAGCAUGUGACAAGGAGAGCUGGGAACCCGGAGCUGUCUGGCGGGACUCUGAUGGCAGGGAUGUAUCAUCUCUUGGAGUCCGGGUGCCCAAGACAUUUCAUUCCCACAGGACUCCAAGCAGAGGGGAAAGGGGCAGAGCCUGGUUUCACAUCUAGCUUCUGCUGUCUUUCUGCUCUGUGUCCCUGAGCCAAUGACCUGACUUUCCAGAAUUUCAGCAUCUUCAUGGUGGGAAGGAUGAUGUCAUCUUCCUUAUAGGAACCGUGGUGAGGAUUUGACAUCAAGCACAUCCAGGGGUUCAUACCAGGUUGGGGGGAGAAGAGAAUCAUUAUGGUCUUCAUCGUUACCAGGGCAUCAGAACUUACACCUCACCUGUGAGAGGGAUGCAGUCAGCAUCAGUUCCCCUCCCACACUGAGUUUCCAUUUCUUCCUUUUUAAAUCCAUAGGGUAAAUCGUGAUUUUUAGGUACUGACAACGUAGACCCUGCUGACUCCAUUCAACACCAGAAAUCCUCAAAGUAGGGGAAGGGAAGCUUAUGGGUUUCUCAAACUAGCAUAAUAACAGUGAGGAUCAAGGAGCAAGAGAAGGUGACUAGGUCCCCCGGAGGUGGGAUGGACAGGUAGAGAAACAUCAACCCAGAGGAGAUGUCCAGGCCAAAUCACUGCCAGCCAAUGGACACAAAGACAGCAUGAGAACGGCACCUUGGAUGCUUUGGUCAGCUGAAGAGGCAUAUGUAGGACUUCUUCCUCAUUGAGACUAAACAGUCAACUAAAUAGAGUCCCCACUUCUAGUCUUCUGCAAGAGGACAAUUGCCCUUUAGAGCAAUAGAAGUGAUUGUACUAAUAGGGAAGGCAAUAAAAGGAGCUGUGAUUCUUGG